This is a long non-coding RNA of Papaver somniferum (opium poppy), 2956 nucleotides long. RefSeq lists it as uncharacterized. The transcript is spliced from 2 exons. The record is from RefSeq and is a predicted model, not a curated record. Lineage: Eukaryota; Viridiplantae; Streptophyta; Magnoliopsida; Ranunculales; Papaveraceae.
GUUUCUCGGUUGCUCACCACCAAUGUGUAAAAACCCUUUUUUUAUUAUUAUUUUUUCGUAUUUAUAAAAUAGAAGACACCCAGAGGGUAUUUUAUUAAGAAUCAAAAUCAAAAUCAAGGUUACAUCAAAUCUGUUCUUUUUUUCUCUUCCUUUCGUCCCUGUUUUUAUUUUUAUUUUUGUAUUCAACAUCAAAUCUCUCUUUGGUGAUUAGAGUACCAGAUUCUAUGGUAGUUUUCUUUGAUUCUCCAGCAUUGUUGGUGAUUCAAUUAGGGUUCUGAAGUCCCAUUUUUCAAAGUUUGUUGAGAAGAUUUCUUCGAUUGGAGUUAGGGUUCUGUUUUUUUUUUCUCUCUGUAGUUUCUUUGUGGGAGAUUUCAUCGAUUGGUGGGAAGGGUGCUGUUGUGGGUUUUUGUGAAAUCGCACCAACAACUGUUCUUCUGUAUGUGAUUUCUUAAAUCUGAGUCAGUGUUUGAUGUAACAAUUUUAUUUAGAGGUGUUGAAAUUAGAAUUAGGGUUUUGAGAUUUGGGUUCUUUUGUGACUGGUUGAUGUUACAAAAUUAGGGGUGUUGGUGUUCAAUUCAGGUUUUUGUGCUUUGUGUUUGGCUUAACAAAAUUAGGGGCGUAGAAAUUUGAAUUUGGGGUUUUGUGAUUUCCUUUCUUCUGAGAGUGGUUGAUUUAAAAAAGCAGAUUUUGCAGUUUUUGCUCCAAUUUCUCAAUUUCGUUAUUUGAGAAAACAAUAGUUUCAAGUAGUUUUCUUUAUGCAAUUAGAUUUUUGGGUUUCCUUUAGAAAUUUGAGGGCUUUGAAGCAGUAGCAGGGGAUUUUUGUACUUUUUUGUGCUGUACAGAAGAAGUGGAUUGAAAGAAGUAGUGGGUCUUCUUCAGUGAAGUGUUUGAAGUGGGUACAAGGUUCAGUCAAGAUAUUGUAUUUUUCUUCUAAUUAGUAUUUUAGUGAAUGGUAUUUUAAGUUUUCAAUUGAGGUAGUUUGUCUAAUUUGAAUUCUUAUUUUCCCAUUUGUUGAUUCCUAAUUAUAGUUAUUUCAUCCCUGCAAUAUUUCGACAACCAGAUAUUCCACUUCAUCAUAUGUAAGUGUAUUUGUACCUUCAAAAGGGGUGUUUUCUAUAUCUGCAUCACCAUCACAAGGUGACAGGUUUCAUUGUCCCUUUACAAACUAUGACAAGAUUUUUUGUCCCUUUAAAGGUUAUGAUGGUUGUCAUGGUGGAGUUGGCGGUAAUGGGUAUGCUAGAAGUGUAAUUUAUAGACAUCUAAUAGAUAAGAACGUCCCUACAGCGGAUGGUAAGGAUGCUUGUAGGGAGAGGAUAAGGAACAAUGCUGAAUGCUUCAGUGCAUAGGAGAAGGUCUUGUCUGAUAUGCAAUCUUGGCUCUGCAUUAAAUGUUGACAUAUCCAUGCAUGGAAGAAAUCAUGCCAUGACCCAAGGCAUUCUCAUGAAGUUGUUGUUGGUCCACUCAAUGGUAGUAUGGUUGAUUUUUUAAUCCAUGGUACAACACAGCCUUAAACCCAUCCAGUAGUUAUGGAUGACAAUGUUCUGGACGAAGUAGUUGCAGGUUACAGUUUUCUAGAACUCUGAAGGCAACUCUAGAUAAUAUACUGGCAAAACCCAUGGAUUUGGCUACUUGGCUUUAUCUCUUGUAGCUACCUGUAUGUACACUGAAUUUGUAUAUGCCUAAAAUCUCCGCUGAGGAGAGAUCAGGUACAAGGAAGAAGUUACAAAUAUCAGCAAUCAACCAGGCUUUAGUGACAUGGUUGGAACCCAAUGGAUGCUUCACAUUGGUUCAGGCACUGCUAGACUUAUCAAGGACAAAUAAUCAGCCAAACAGUCUUCUAAGAGGAAAAAGGAAGAUGCCAACUUGGAGGAUUGUAGAAAAAACUGAGUUAUGGUCAUUAUACAAUUGCAAUUCGUAUUUUAUCUUCCAAUUGGGUUGCUCCUUCUACCCUGACACUCUCUACGAGUCACAGAAGAAACACCCAUAUGAGCGGCCACUUGUUAUCCCUUUGGACAAUCUCUCAACAACAACAUUAUUUGUUGAUUCCAAUCUGCGGGAUCUGAAAAGCUUCCCAAAGGGGACUGCAUGUGGUAGGGACGGUCUUCGGGCUUAGGACUUGCUAGUCUCUCUUAAUAGUGCAGCAGCAACAUUUUCUGAUGACCUCUUACAAUCCAUGGACGGUGUAGUUAAUCUAUGGUUGGAUGGAAGAUAUCCUGCAGUCCUUGGUAAGUAUGUAGCCAGCGCACCAUUAACUCCUCUACUGAAGAGGUCCAUUCAGUUUAACAAGAUGAAAGUUAGUCUGAGGAAAGUUCAGAUGAUGAAUUAACACCUGAGAAGGCAGCUGCUGGUGUCAAGGGUUCUAAAUGGGGAGAAGUUUCAGAUGAUGAAGAUAAGACGAAGAAUAAAAGGAAACCAUGUCGCAUUCUAGUUCCCAAGAAAGGUCAAACAGCGUCUAAUUCAGAAAAAGCUGAGUCAGGAUCUGAAAUCAAUGAGUUAGGAAUAAAGGUUAGCAAGGGAAAGUCUCCAGUUCUAGAAAGAAGAGGGGUGACUAAUGCUAGUCAUAUUCCAAAAGUUAAAAAUAAACAAAAACAGUAGUUUCCAAUGCGUGUACUCUUUUGGAAUAUCAAUGGGGUGGCAAAGGUGGAGGCUGGGUUGAAGUUACGUCAGUUGGUGCAUGAGUUUAAACCUGUGAUUCUUUGUAUUGCGGAGCCUAAAAUUCAGUGUACUGACACAGUUAUCUCAAAGCUAAAUUUAGCUGGUUUUGUUAAAAAAGGCAAUUCAUAAUUCUACUUUGAAUUCUUUGGGAAAUCUUUGGAUUCUUUGGAGUGAAGAUAUUGAAGAGCCAGUGGUGUGUAACAUGACUAGGCAAGCCAUUAAGGUGAAGAUUGAUGGUGUUUUUAUCUCAUUUGUGCAUGCUAGUUAUCUGCAAGUAAUUAGAAGGAGUUUGUGGAGGCAA